GCCCGAGUGGAGUUUCAUGUAAAUGUUUCGUACGGGAAAAAAAUCGCCGCCGGGGAUGGAGGAGUUGGAGCCGUUGAGGACGCCCUUUAGCCUUUCUCUUAAAAAUUGCAUCACGCGCUGAGGCCGGGAUUCGACUUGGGACCGAAGAUGAUGUGGAUAGAAUCUUGACAGUCCUUUUGAUUCAGCUUUAAUCAAAUCAUAUUUAAGUUGGCUUAAUUGAAAAUAACUAUUCGCCAAGAAGACAUUCAUGAUGGUUUUUAGACGUUUCAACCGCUGGCUUCUGCCAAACAAGCUGGGGCAGGCCCCGGCAUUUGUGUCGGCGUUCAGAAUACCACGUAGUGCCACAACUGUCAUUGUCCUCGGCCUAGCAAUCUCAAUCUUCAGCUCGCAUAGAUUAUCCACAACAUGUAAAUGCAAAUUAUUGAAGUCAGAAUAGACAAUGAGUAAGAUUAUACAAAUCUGUUGUGGUGUUCAAGCCACGCUGGUAUGUUAAUUAUACAGCAAAAGCCCAGAAUGAAGAUGCAAUAACUUGAACAAGAUGAUAUGAUUUUCAACAAGGUACUAAACGAUGAGAUUCCAUCAGGAUUGUGUCUGGAUGUACCUAGGUGUUUCGUUUUUGGAUUGUUACAAUUUCAGUUUGGAAGUAUUAGAUGAUUGAAUCACUACAGACAUUUCAGUAAUAAUGAGACCCAGCAGCUUAUGUUAUGUGUUGUUUUUUUCCUGUUUUUGUUUGAAAUUGUAAGUUUGAUAUCAUCAGCUCACUGCACUGCCUUGGUAAAGUUCAGAAUUUUUUUAUUUUUUUUUUUUAUACUGUAUAUAUAUUACAUUUACUAACAAGUAAAACCUUGAGAUUUUGAUCCCAUGCAGUAUUUUGAUCUGUAAUUCGUGACUCGCUUCUGCUGAAAGGAAAUUCGGAAAAAACCAAUCAGUUUUGAUACUUGAACCUUAACUCAUACUUUAAAUUUAAAUACAAAAUAUUAAAUUUUAUUGUGGCAUUAAAUUAAAAAACAAAAAUACUGCUGCAGUAUUUAGACGAGAGCUGCAAUCACAUCAGAUCUGAACCAAUAUUCAGACUGCGUGUUUGAUGCGCUUAAUGCCAGCGCCCCUAUUUUUACAUACUGAUUGGCUUGGCUUGAUAAACUCUUCGAUCCGAAAAAUUCGGAUUUGGUGUGAAUGCCCAUUUAAGUAUAGCACAGGUGGGCAAAGUGUGGGCCGCUUGCAGCCUACCAGUGAUUUUUUUUUUGCGGCCCGCGAAAAUGAAUUAAAAACUCUAUGUGUGCGGCCCGCCAAGCAACAUUGGCUAGAAAACACCUUGUUUUUAUUGCCCGACACCGAUCAUAUAUAAAAAGUAAAAUUAAAACUGAGAAUAAAUUGGUGUAAAAGCAGUUCUGGGUUUUUUGAAAGUACACUGGAAACAACAAAGUUUGGGUGCGGCCCUCGGAGUUAAAUCAAAAAUUCACUUUCGCCCUCCGACCAAUUUUUAUGCCCACCCUUGAAGUAUAGUAACUUUGACUAGAAGUCCUCCCAUUAAAUCACCACGGGCAAAUUUUUGAAAGGAUGAUCUUUGUUAAUUUUAAUAGUGCUGCCAUCUAUUCAAGUGUUUUCUGAAAUCAAACAAUAAUGGCCAAAAAAAACCCCAAUAUUUCUCAGAUGAUACAUGGAGCUUGUGUGUUCAGUUCAGUAUAUUUUAUUGUGAUUUGUAAAAAAUAUUUUUUUACAUAGAAAUACAAUUGCAAGGGUCCACUCAUAAAUAAACAACAGAAAUAAUAAGUAAAAAUGUAACAAACCAGUUUGAUGCAGUGCCCCCGAACUUCACCCCUGUGUUCUAGAAUUUGUGGCGUAUCAAACUUAUUUAAAUAAGCACACAACAAUGGAGCUAUUGUGUUUAUUUAAACUAGUUUGAUGCUCCCCUAACCCCACCCUCUAUUCUUUAAUUAAUUAAUGAACUUGGUUAUGUAACUGCUUACUAUCAGUGUACUCUCUAUUAAGAUUAGGAACCUCAAUAGACUUAAUUUUACUGUCAGUCAGUUUAUUGUCUUGUAAGAUUAUAGCCAUGAACAGGCUUGUAAUUCUAUCAAAAUGAGGUGAAAUGAAUAUGAUGGUCUAUGUACUAUGGGAUUCAUAUCUUAAAUCUUUAACCUUUGUAAUUUAUAUCUGAUAUUUUACUUAUUUUCUGUAUUCAUAGAGAAUAUUUCAAUUGCAUUCAGCAUAUAAUGCAGUGAACACAAACUAAUAUUUUGUCAUAAUCAUCGUUUACUUUUAUUUCAUUUUUAAUUGUUGUUAUUUGUCAAUACUGUACUGUAUAUGAUUUUUGGUUUCUGUAAGUAAUGAUGUAGUGAGUUUGAUUGAAAAUGUUAACAAGAUUAAAUUACCUCUCCGAGUUUGAAGAGUUGAUUGUAUUGAGUAAAUAAAAUCUAAGAUUAUGAGAAAAAAAAA
RNAcentral lists this long non-coding RNA (2436 nucleotides) under Anneissia japonica. Its description in RNAcentral is "uncharacterized LOC117115164". Lineage: Eukaryota; Metazoa; Echinodermata; Crinoidea; Comatulida; Comatulidae. The record is from RNAcentral.